CCGAGAAUGGGCUCCGGCUCGAUCUCCACCCACUGUGUAUCGAUUUGAACCAGACCGGAGACGGUAGGGUCAAUCAACUCUCGUCCUACGGGACAUGAAAAAAUUA
This 106-nucleotide unclassified non-coding RNA is filed under the name uncultured fungus. Its description in RNAcentral is "sequence contains ITS1". The record is from RNAcentral. Lineage: Eukaryota; Fungi.